Molecule: long non-coding RNA, 286 nt
Filed under: Ananas comosus (pineapple)
Lineage: Eukaryota; Viridiplantae; Streptophyta; Magnoliopsida; Poales; Bromeliaceae
Description: long non-coding RNA (ACOM_LNC018525)
Source: RNAcentral
AAAAUGUAUAUAAGCCGAAAACGAACAAAAUUGAACCAUUUUGAAUUAGCUAUUCAAUCUUUCAAAAUUUUAAUUUACUAUCGAACCUUUCAGUUUGUUUGAUUUGCAACAGUCAACAGCGCUUUGACUUCAAAAUUUGAAUAUUUUUUUUUAUCUUUACAAAUUUAAUUAGUAUUUUUCAUAUAAGUCUCACAAUUAUAAAUUUAUUAAUAAAUAAUAAAUUUAAAUUUUAAAGUUGAAGUGUCAUUAAUUGACCUUCGAAAGGUUGUGUAAUUAUAUUUAUUUU